UAAAAGUUAGUUAAAAUUAACAUUUAGAUGUCAACUAAAAAUUAUAAAUAUUAAAUCAUAAAUUUUAUACUUUUAA
This 76-nucleotide transfer RNA is filed under the name Polistes rothneyi. Its description in RNAcentral is "tRNA-Asp". Lineage: Eukaryota; Metazoa; Arthropoda; Insecta; Hymenoptera; Vespidae. The record is from RNAcentral.